CAGAGUUAUCCAACUCCCAAACCCAUAUGAACUUAUCUCUUUGUUGCCUCGGCGCAAGCUACCCGGGACCUCGCGCCCCGGGCGGCCCGCCGGCGGACAAACCAAAACUCUUGUUAUCUUAGUUGAUUAUCUGAGUGUCUUAUUUAAUAAGUCA
RNAcentral lists this unclassified non-coding RNA (154 nucleotides) under soil metagenome. RNAcentral's name for it is "partial internal transcribed spacer 1". The record is from RNAcentral.